This 324-nucleotide unclassified non-coding RNA is filed under the name Hevea brasiliensis (rubber tree). The record is from RNAcentral. Lineage: Eukaryota; Viridiplantae; Streptophyta; Magnoliopsida; Malpighiales; Euphorbiaceae.
GAAACUCAAUUUCUCAUGAAGAUACAGAACAAAGCUGGACUUGUCAGCGUAGAAACACGUGUAUCAAUGGUGGAUUAUACAAUACAUAGGGGUUGGCCACUUCUAAAUGCAUUACUCAAUUUACGCAUCAUGAAUUGAUAGACUUUCUAUAUCUCUAUGUUUUAACUUUUCCUAUACGUCAGUUUUGACUAAGCUGGAGAACAAGGCUUAUAUGUGGUAAUAAUAAUCCACUAAAGGCAGCUAAUCUAGUGUAACUUGCAUCCAAGUGUUUGUUUGUCUCCAAACAUACAUCAAUUGCCUAAGGAUCGUUUCUUUCUUUCAAGA